RNAcentral lists this ribosomal RNA (250 nucleotides) under uncultured bacterium. RNAcentral's name for it is "partial 16S ribosomal RNA". It matches the Rfam family "Bacterial small subunit ribosomal RNA", at positions 524 to 773 of the family's 1533-position model. The record is from RNAcentral.
GACAGAGGGUGCUAGCGUUGUUCGGAAUUACUGGGCGUAAAGGGCGUGUAGGUGGCAUAGCAUGUCGGAUGUGAAAUCCCACGGCUUAACCGUGGAACUGCAUUCGAAACUGCUAAGCUCGAGUCCGGGAGAGGGAAGUGGAAUUCCCAGUGUAGAAGUGAAAUUCGUAGAUAUUGGGAGGAACACCGGUAGCGAAGGCGACUUCCUGGCCCGGCACUGACACUGAAACGCGAAAGCGUGGGUAGCAAAC